ACUUUUCGCCCUCAUUCCAACUUUUCGCCCUCAUUACUCCCCCUCAUUCCAACUUUUCGCCUCUUGUCGUCCUCUCUCCUUUUCGACUAUUCUCCCCCUCAGUUCUCUCAACCCUCAUUCAACAGCUGCGGCGGCGAUUAUUUGUGAAGCAGCAACGACGGUGGUAAUAGUCUCUGCAGCAGCGGCGUCAAGUUGCAAUGAGUUCUGGUCGGCGAAAACCUGGGCAGGAUCAGGCGGAGUCCUCGAAGAAGGGAAUUUUUUGUUCGGUAUCUCCUAACCAAGGGCCUCAAACACCUUGCUAAAGUGAUAAGUAAAGAACGUGGAAUCCGGCUGCUGGACUUGCCAUGGAAAACAACUAACAACGACAAGGACUCUGCGGUCUUCCUGAUGAGACAUAUGGAGACAUAUAUGGGUACGCCUAUCAAUUUGUGGAAUAGUGGUCUUCAAGGAGUUAAUGUCAAGACAUUGCAGAUUUUGAGGGGGUCUUAUUGCAAGACAAUGCUUCUUUCGGAAUCCAACAAAGUCAGGGACCGAUUCACAAAGUACGUGACAAGUUACAUCAAUGUGACCCCUUCGUUUAGAACAGAUUUCGCGAGGUAGAUCAAUGGUUUGUUGAAUAAAGAUCCCAGUAAAAUGUCCAACAAGGAGCCGGCAAAGAAGAAAAGAAAGUGUGUUUGAUUUUUUUGAGAAAGUUGGUACUUUUUGUGGAUGUUCAAGCAACAUUUUGGUUAUUAGUAAUUAGUUUAGUUGUUGAAACUAUUUAGCAUAGCUUGAAGCAGACAAGUUUUUUCAGCCCAGUACUUUGUUGAGAUUUGAGAAGGUUCCCCUUUUUAAUAUUGUUCUUAACACAUUACUUUGUUGAGAUUUGAGAAUGUUCCUUUUUUUUAACAUUGUUCUUAUUUGAAUUUAAAAGAUUAAGAACUCA
Molecule: long non-coding RNA, 925 nt
Organism: Salvia splendens (bonfire salvia)
Lineage: Eukaryota; Viridiplantae; Streptophyta; Magnoliopsida; Lamiales; Lamiaceae
Exons: 2
Source: RefSeq, a predicted model, not a curated record